RNAcentral lists this ribosomal RNA (440 nucleotides) under uncultured soil bacterium. RNAcentral describes it as "bacterial SSU rRNA". It matches the Rfam family "Bacterial small subunit ribosomal RNA", at positions 8 to 495 of the family's 1533-position model. The record is from RNAcentral.
AGAGUUUGAUCCUGGCUCAGAACGAACGCUGGCGGCAGGCCUCAAACAUGCAAGUCUAGGGGGUGUAGCAAUACAUCACCGGCGGACGGGUGCGUAACGCGUGGGAAUAUACCUUUUGGUUCGGAACAACUGAGGGAAACUUCAGCUAAUACCGAAUGUGCCCUAACGGGGAAAGAUUUAUCGCCAAAGGAUUAGCCCGCGUAGGAUUAGCUAGUUGGUGAGGUAAUGGCUCACCAAGGCUCCGAUCCUUAGCUGUUCUGAGAGGAAGAUCAGCCACACUGGGACUGAGACACGGCCCAGACUCCUACGGGAGGCAGCAGUAGGGAAUCUCGGACAAUGGGGGAAACCCUGAUCCAGCCAUGCCGCGUGAGUGAUGAAGGCCUUCGGGUUGUAAAACUCUUCGACGGGACGAUAAUGACGGUACCCCUAGAAGAGUCCCU